Non-coding RNA from Xyrichtys novacula (pearly razorfish), 213 nucleotides. The record is from the annotation of a GenBank genome assembly. NCBI's taxonomy places the organism in Eukaryota, Metazoa, Chordata, Actinopteri, Labriformes, Labridae.
GAAGGGAAGGGGGGAGGAGGGGGAGGAGGGAUAGGGUGGUGGGGAGGGAGUGGGGGGGAGCUGUUCCGCUAGCCACACCAAUUUCCUAACCCCCCUUUUUUUUCACCUCCCCUCUUCUUCUUCUUCUUUUUCUUCUUCUCUCCCCCAUUUCCAACCUUAACCACCUCACCCUGCACCUUUCCUUUUACCCCUCUCCUUCCCCUCUUCUUCUUC